Molecule: ribosomal RNA, 274 nt
Filed under: uncultured bacterium
Lineage: Bacteria
Description: partial 16S ribosomal RNA
Rfam family: Bacterial small subunit ribosomal RNA
Source: RNAcentral
AUACGGAGGGUGCAAGCGUUACUCGGAAUCACUGGGCGUAAAGCGCGCGCAGGCGGUCUUUUAAGUUGGAUGUGAAAGCCUACGGCUCAACCGUAGAACUGCAUCCAAAACUAUUAGACUAGAGUGUGGGAGAGGAAGAUGGAAUUAGUUGUGUAGGGGUAAAAUCCGUAGAGAUAACUAGGAAUACCAAAAGCGAAGGCAAUCUUCUGGAACACUACUGACGCUGAGGCGCGAAAGCGUGGGGAGCAAACAGGAGUAGAAACCCUAGUAGUCC